GAUGAAGAACGCAGCGAAAUGCGAUAAGUAAUGUGAAUUGCAGAAUUCAGUGAAUCAUCGAAUCUUUGAACGCACCUUGCGCCCUUUGGCCAUUCCGAAGGGCAUGCCUGUUUGAGUAUCAUGAACACCUCAACUCUUUAUGGUUUUCCAUGAUGAGCUUGGACUCUGGGGGUUUUGCUGGCUCACAGUCGGCUCCUCUAAAAUAAAUCAGCUUACCAGUGUUUGGUGGCAUCACAGGUGUGAUAACUAUCUACGCUUGUGGUUUUCCAUCAGGUAACCUUCAGUGAUGGAGGUUCGCUGGAGCUCAUAAAUGUCCCUCCUCAGCGAGGACAGCUUUUUGAACGUUUGAUCUCAAAUCAGGUAGGACUACCCGCUGAACUUAAGCAUAUCAAUAAGCGGAGGA
Molecule: unclassified non-coding RNA, 403 nt
Filed under: soil metagenome
Description: partial contains 5.8S ribosomal RNA, internal transcribed spacer 2, and large subunit ribosomal RNA
Rfam family: 5.8S ribosomal RNA (bases 1-121)
Source: RNAcentral